CAAAUGCAGUUGAAACAUAACAAUUGUCGCGUGGCUUGUGCAGCGAUGAGCAGAGAGAGAAAAAAAGCAGCCGUGUUUAAAUAACAAUAGUCAUCGCUUAUUGUUGUUGCCCCAACUAAUUUGAACUGUGCAUGUGUGUGCGAGUCUGAUUGUGUUUGUGUGUGAAGGCGCGUUGGCGUUUGUGUUGUUGUUGUUUUUUCUUUGCUCAGCAGCUCAGACACAAAAAAACCGAAAGAAAGAAAUAUUCAGAGAAUUUUGAGUUUGUUUCUCGUUCUUCCUGCCAAAGAGAGAGAAGCGUAAAAAGAAGCAACAAACAAGACAAAACAAUAAAAAAAAUCAAGGGAACACACAACACACAUGCAAAGCAACAAAAGAAAAGGCAAAUAAAAGAGAGCGAGAGAGCGCGAAUUGUGUCAGUGACGCCAAAAAAUUUAAAAAUAUCAAUAAUGCCCACCAGUGUUUUAUUUUCGUUUCGCCAAACGGUUUAUAAUUAAUUAACUGCAACUAUAUUUAAUUGGUUUUGUGUCGGCAUUGUUUUUAUUGCUCUUUCGAUUGUGUUUCCUUCCACUGCCUUUGCCGUCGUUCUGCCUUUGCGAUUGCGAGACUGUCUUUGCAAAUUGUCUUUGCGUCGGCGGGUCGUGACUGGAUUCCAUUGAAUAUUUUACAAACAGAUGAUGCAUGUGGUUGUCACAGUUAAAACACCUAUAACUACAAAUUAAACACGACAACCAAGUGAAGACAAACCAAUAUCUACUGUAUAUUAUUUUAAAAACUGUAUAAUCCACCACUAUUUUAACCGAAAAUCUGUAAAAAAAAGUCUAUAAAACUAUAUUUCGUGAAAUUAACGCGUGUAAUCGAAAAGCGUUCGAGUAUUUAAUCAUCAUCGAAGGCGAAUGUCGAAAAGUGUUCCGAGGUCAAUGUUUCUGUUUCUGCUGCUGGCAACUCAUCGCCUAAAUUAAGUACACAAUCUGCAGCGAGUUCAGCGAGCAGGCGGAUAAAGGACUGACCCGCUCAAACAGGACUAGAACCAGCCAAACCAAUUCGACGCCAAUUUUAACUACUGUUGGUGGCGCCAGCAGCGAAUAG
This is a long non-coding RNA of Drosophila mauritiana, 1086 nucleotides long. RefSeq lists it as uncharacterized. The transcript has 4 exons. The record is from RefSeq and is a predicted model, not a curated record. NCBI's taxonomy places the organism in Eukaryota, Metazoa, Arthropoda, Insecta, Diptera, Drosophilidae.